Molecule: ribosomal RNA, 773 nt
Filed under: uncultured bacterium
Lineage: Bacteria
Description: bacterial SSU rRNA
Rfam family: Bacterial small subunit ribosomal RNA
Source: RNAcentral
AGAGUUUGAUCCUGGCUCAGGACGAACGCUGGCGGCGUGCUUAACACAUGCAAGUCGAGCGGUGACCCUCCUUCGGGAGGUGAUCAGCGGCGAACGGGUGAGUAACACGUGGGCAACCUGCCCCUAACACUGGGAUAACCUCGGGAAACCGGGGCUAAUACCGGAUACGACCUCGAGCGGCAUCUCUUGAGGUGGAAAGCUCCGACGGUUAGGGAUGGGCCCGCGGCCUAUCAGCUUGUUGGUGGGGUAAUGGCCUACCAAGGCGACGACGGGUAGCCGGCCUGAGAGGGCGACCGGCCACACUGGGACUGAGACACGGCCCAGACUCCUACGGGAGGCAGCAGUGGGGAAUAUUGCGCAAUGGGCGAAAGCCUGACGCAGCGACGCCGCGUGAGGGAUGAAGGCCUUCGGGUUGUAAACCUCUUUCAGCAGGGACGAAGCGAAAGUGACGGUACUUGCAGAAGAAGCACCGGCUAACUGCGUGCCAGCAGCCGCGGUAAUACGUAGGGUGCAAGCGUUGUCCGGAUUUAUUGGGCGUAAAGAGCUCGUAGGCGGUUUGUCGCGUCGGAUGUGAAAACCCAGGGCUCAACCCUGGGCCUGCAUUCGAUACGGGCAAACUAGAGUAUGGCAGGGGAGACUGGAAUUCCUGGUGUAGCGGUGAAAUGCGCAGAUAUCAGGAGGAACACCGGUGGCGAAGGCGGGUCUCUGGGCCAAAACUGACGCUGAGGAGCGAAAGCGUGGGGAGCGAACAGGAUUAGAUACCCUGGUAGUCC